Molecule: transfer-messenger RNA, 365 nt
Filed under: Bacteroidota bacterium
Lineage: Bacteria; Pseudomonadati; Bacteroidota
Rfam family: transfer-messenger RNA
About the family: Bacterial tmRNA, also known as 10Sa RNA or SsrA, is named for its dual tRNA and mRNA-like properties.
Source: RNAcentral
GGGGAUGACAUGGAUUCGACGGGGAAGAGGAUGGUCAGAACUGCAUUCCGUGCUUUCCGAGUUGCACGAUAAUAAAACGGAAAAAUCUUAAGUGCUAACUACGAUUACGCACUGGCUGCCUAAUUAAAAAAAGGUAACCCAUUCUACGCAGUUAUGCUUGAUGGACUGCGAUAGGGUGUCGAAAAUAAUCGAGAUCGUCCCGGAAUAUUCUCAGAAUUUCAGGAUUAAAUCAAACUGAGAUAGUCUGCUAUCGCUGUGUUUGGUCUGUGCGGUGCAGCUGAAAUUUAAAAACGAUCAGACUAUGAAUGUAGAAGUUUUGGUGGUCUUCUCUUCGGACCGGGGUUCGAUUCCCCGCAUCUCCACAA